Long non-coding RNA from Hippocampus zosterae (dwarf seahorse), 357 nucleotides. RefSeq lists it as uncharacterized. Lineage: Eukaryota; Metazoa; Chordata; Actinopteri; Syngnathiformes; Syngnathidae. The transcript is spliced from 3 exons. The record is from RefSeq and is a predicted model, not a curated record.
UAACGCGAGCAGGCUAACGGGCCAACUUUUCUUUUCACUUCUUCAUGCUUCUCUCUCUCUCUCUCUCUCUCACACACACACGCGUGCGAAGAGGAAGUGAAGAUGUUUCAUUUUCUCAGAAAGUCAUCAAGACAUGGACACCACGAAGCAGUCACGAGACGAUUCAUGUUUGACCACCAGGGAACUUCAGCAGCAGUUUCGAGAGAUGAAAAGCUCUGAGAUGCAUCCCAAACUUCUCUUCCGCGUGUCAGACUUGCAACAAGACCGAGAAAACGCCUGCUGCACGCAAGUGGAGGUGGCGCUAUUGACCACGGGAACGUUCAGCCCUCGUCAUGUGACGGUGCGGCGGAGCUCCGG